ACGAACGCUGGCGGCGUGCUUAACACAUGCAAGUCGAGCGGUAAGGCCCUUUCGGGGGUACGACGAGCGGCGAACGGGUGAGUAACACGUGGGUGACCUGCCCUCCAGCUCUGGGAUAAGCCUGGGAAACCGGGUCUAAUACUGGAUAUGACUCCAUGACGCAUGUUGUGGGGUGGAAAGCCUUGUGCGGCUGAGGAUGGGCCCGACGGCCUAUCAGCUUGUUGGUGGGGUGAUGGCCUACCAAGGCGACGACGGGUAGCCGGCCUGAGAGGGCGACCGGCCACACUGGGACUGAGACACGGCCCAGACUCCUACGGGAGGCAGCAGUGGGGAAUCUUGCGCAAUGGGCGAAAGCCUGACGCAGCGACGCCGCGUGAGGGAUGACGG
Molecule: ribosomal RNA, 387 nt
Filed under: uncultured bacterium
Lineage: Bacteria
Description: bacterial SSU rRNA
Rfam family: Bacterial small subunit ribosomal RNA
Source: RNAcentral